RNAcentral lists this ribosomal RNA (465 nucleotides) under uncultured bacterium. RNAcentral describes it as "partial 16S ribosomal RNA". It matches the Rfam family "Bacterial small subunit ribosomal RNA", at positions 28 to 507 of the family's 1533-position model. The record is from RNAcentral.
GACGAACGCUGGCGGCGUGCUUAACACAUGCAAGUCGAACGGAAAGGCCCUGCUUGCCGGGUACUCGAGUGGCGAACGGGUGAGUAACACGUGGGUGAUCUGCCCUGCACUUCGGGAUAAGCCUGGUAAACUGGGUCUAAUACCGGAUAGGAGCCAUUUUUAGUGUGAUGGUUGGAAAGUUUUUUCGGUGUAGGAUGAGCUCGCGGCCUAUCAGCUUGUUGGUGGGGUAAUGGCCUACCAAGGCGGCGACGGGUAGCCGGCCUGAGAGGGUGGACGGCCACAUUGGGACUGAGAGACGGCCCAGACAGCUACGGGAGGGAGAAGGGGGGAAGAUUGAACAAGGGGCGCAAGGCUGAUGCAGAGAGGCCGCGGGGGGGAAGACGGCCUUCGGGGUGUAAAAUCCUUUCGCUAGGGACGAAGCUUUUUGUGACGGUACCUAGAUAAGAAGCACCGGCUAACUACGUG